AUUGAACGCUGGCGGCAGGCUUAACACAUGCAAGUCGAGCGAGCGGCAGACGGGUGAGUAAUGUCUGGGAAACUCCCUGAUGGAGGGGGAUAACUACUGGAAACGGUAGCUAAUACCGCAUACCAUCAGAUGUGGCCAGAGGGGAUUAGCUAGUUGGUGGGGUAAUGGCUCACCUGGGCGACGAUCCCUAGCUGGUCUGAGGGGAUGACAGGGCACACUGGAACUGUGACACGGUCCCAAGGCCUACGGGAGGCAGCAGUGGGGAAGAGGGGACAAUGGGCGCAAGCCUGAUGCAGCCAUGCCGCGUGUGUGAAGAAGGGCUUCGGGUUGUAAGGCACUUUCAGUGAGGAGGCGUUACUCGCAGAAGAAGCACCGGCUAACUCCGUGCCAGCAGCCGCGGUAAUUC
This 406-nucleotide ribosomal RNA is filed under the name uncultured bacterium. RNAcentral describes it as "partial 16S ribosomal RNA". It matches the Rfam family "Bacterial small subunit ribosomal RNA", at positions 29 to 526 of the family's 1533-position model. The record is from RNAcentral.